CAAUAGCGUAUAUUUAAGUUGCUGCAGUUAAAAAGCUCGUAGUUGGAUUUCGGGUGGGAAUGGCCGGUCCGCCGUUUCGGUGUGCACUUGCUACGCCCACCUUGCUGCCGGGGACGUGCUCUUGAGUUCACGCUCGGGACACGGAGUCGGCGAGGUUACUUUGAGUAAAUUAGAGUGUUCAAAGCAGGCCUACGCUCUGAAUACAUUAGCAUGGAAUAACACGAUAGGACUCUGGCCUAUCUUGUUGGUCUGUAGGACCGGAGUAAUGAUUAAGAGGGACAGUCGGGGGCAUUCGUAUUUCAUUGUCAGAGGUGAAAUUCUUGGAUUUAUGAAAGACGAACCACUGCGAAAGCAUUUGCCAAGGAUGUUUUCAAUAA
Molecule: ribosomal RNA, 377 nt
Filed under: uncultured eukaryote
Lineage: Eukaryota
Description: partial 18S ribosomal RNA
Rfam family: Eukaryotic small subunit ribosomal RNA
Source: RNAcentral